AGAGUUUGAUCCUGGCUCAGGAUGAACGCUGGCGGCGUGCCUAAUACAUGCAAGUCGAGCGAACAGAUAAGGAGCUUGCUCCUUUGACGUUAGCGGCGGACGGGUGAGUAACACGUGGGUAACCUACCUAUAAGACUGGAAUAACUUCGGGAAACCGAAGCUAAUGCCGGAUAACAUGUAGAACCGCAUGGUUCUACAGUGAAAGAUGGCUUUGCUAUCACUUAUAGAUGGACCCGCGCCGUAUUAGCUAGUUGGUAAGGUAACGGCUUACCAAGGCAACGAUACGUAGCCGACCUGAGAGGGUGAUCGGCCACACUGGAACUGAGACACGGUCCAGACUCCUACGGGAGGCAGCAGUAGGGAAUCUUCCGCAAUGGGCGAAAGCCUGACGGAGCAACGCCGCGUGAGUGAUGAAGGUCUUCGGAUCGUAAAGCUCUGUUAUUAGGGAAGAACAAGUGCGUAAGUAACUGUGCGCACCUUGACGGUACCUAAUCAGAAAGCCACGGCUAACUACGUGCCAGCAGCCGCGGUAAUACGUAGGUGGCAAGCGUUAUCCGGAAUUAUUGGGCGUAAAGCGCGCGUAGGCGGUUUCUUAAGUCUGAUGUGAAAGCCCACGGCUCAACCGUGGAGGGUCAUUGGAAACUGGGAGACUUGAGUGCAGAAGAGGAAAGUGGAAUUCCAUGUGUAGCGGUGAAAUGCGCAGAGAUAUGGAGGAACACCAGUGGCGAAGGCGACUUUCUGGUCUGUAACUGACGCUGAUGUGCGAAAGCGUGGGGAUCAAACAGGAUUAGAUACCCUGGUAGUCCACGCCGUAAACGAUGAGUGCUAAGUGUUAGGGGGUUUCCGCCCCUUAGUGCUGCAGCUAACGCAUUAAGCACUCCGCCUGGGGAGUACGACCGCAAGGUUGA
RNAcentral lists this ribosomal RNA (908 nucleotides) under Staphylococcus kloosii. RNAcentral's name for it is "bacterial SSU rRNA". It matches the Rfam family "Bacterial small subunit ribosomal RNA", at positions 8 to 897 of the family's 1533-position model. The record is from RNAcentral. Lineage: Bacteria; Bacillati; Bacillota; Bacilli; Caryophanales; Staphylococcaceae.